Molecule: long non-coding RNA, 413 nt
Filed under: Nicotiana benthamiana
Lineage: Eukaryota; Viridiplantae; Streptophyta; Magnoliopsida; Solanales; Solanaceae
Description: long non-coding RNA (NBEN_LNC010984)
Source: RNAcentral
UUCCUCCAAAUAUAUUUGUGAGAAAUCAACUUCAGGAGGCUCACUGGACCCAUCUUCAGGCUGAGACGCAGAUAGAAUUUUAGACAUUAUGGCGUCCGGGACAAAAAGGCUCUCACAUCUAUUUUUUGCCCAUUCUUUUUCUUGUUGUCUCUGAUGGUUUAUGGAAAUAGAUGGGGUCUUGGUGGUUGUGAAGUUGAAGAAGAAGAAGGAGGAGGAGUUUCUACUGUUUCCAAAUAUUUCCUUUUCAAAAAAUUCUCCCCUAUUUUUAUCGCCUCAAUUUUUUGUUCUUUUUUUUUUCCUGUGUAUGUAUAGUGUGAGCUAUAUAUAGAAUUUGUGUUGAUGAAAAAAGAAAAGUCUUAUAUAAAAGAGUUUCUACUGUUUCCAAAUAUUUCCUUUUCAAAAAAUUCUCCCCU